Molecule: long non-coding RNA, 6688 nt
Organism: Triticum aestivum (bread wheat)
Lineage: Eukaryota; Viridiplantae; Streptophyta; Magnoliopsida; Poales; Poaceae
Exons: 22
Source: RefSeq, a predicted model, not a curated record
CUGGAAACCUAGCCGCUUCCUGCCGCACUCGCGCGGUCGCGCCCCCUUCCCCCUUCCCCCGUCCUCCCGCAUUCCAGCCUCCACCUCGCCGCCGCCACCAACACCAGGCGAUUCCGGCGAGUUCCGGCGGCCCUCGCCGGAGCGCAGCACACCCACGAGCUCCCCUCGUGACGGUGCUUCCUUUCCUUCGGCUAGAUCUGCUCCUCACGGCCGCAAGCGCUCGCGCGCGACCCAUCCCCGCUGCUAGGGCUUCGGCUGCCCCCAACUCUGGUGAGCCACCCUCCUCCAUGGACGAGGACGACCACCACGGCCGCACAUGGUCGAGCUCACCGUCGUUUCCUCCGGUGCGGUGAUGGGCCAACGAGCUCCGCCUCCACGGCUCCUAGCUCGGCUUCUGUUCUCCAUGGACGAAUCUCAACUGGAAACAGCAAGCCAUCUCAAGGGAGGGGAUUGUCAAGUCACCCCACUUCCAAUCCAUGGAUGCUAUCCACAAGGACCAAGAUGAUGACGACCAGGAUGGAAGGAGCCCACGCCCGACCCCGACGACGGCGGUUUCAUUUGUGUGCCGGCGUCGACCACAACCUCCCUCUCUGUAAUAUGUACAUCACUAACCCAGUCAGUGGUUAUGAAUUUUGCUCUCUGAAGGACGUGCAAUGUUAUAUUGAAUCAGGGGACACAAGUAAAUGCAAUGUUAGGCCAAAGAAGAGAACUGCCCAGGAUACUUGUAUUACACAGAAUCAAGAUUAUGUGAGUUCCUCCUAUUGUUUUCACUUUCUGUAGCUUGCAUGUUUGUGUGGGCUGGAAAUGUGUGAGAACAAUGCAAUCUACAAAAACAAUUAGCUUCAUCAAUUGGAAGUUCUCAUCGAUUGGAAGUUGCAGGGGAUUCAGUCUCUGACUAAACUGAUUAACUAACUGGUGUAUCUCCUUGGCAUGAUGUGCAUUAGCUUCAUCAAUUACAAUGCCUUGCUAGAGCUUCUGCCCGUGUGUUUAUUUCAUACCACAUUCAAAGUUAAAUGUACCUGCGACGCCUCUUUUGGGACUGCUCGUGACGACCAUUCUGUGUUAUCCUGACAUGGCUUGCUAUGCUGUUGCGUCCGUGCAACUCUCUGUAGAAAAGACAGUAAAGUUGUCCACGCGUUGGACCCGAUGGGAGCCCCGGCCAAACCACUCCACCGCAGUUCAAUACCUGUCGCAGAUGAUCCAGACACUGUCGUUUCCAAAGAGAACUCCCAAUGCGGUCGUGAAGAAGCUGUCGUAUAUAACAGUUGAUAAACAUGACAAAAAUUCUCCGCCGCUAUUUGGAGGACAUUAAACCUGGGAGCAGAGGAAGGAAAGCUUUAAGUUGAAUGCUACCAUGAAGAGAUGAUUGUACUUAUGGAAACUCAGAUGCCCUGCACCGCUGCCGGAUCAGGGAUGGAGCGAACUAAAAUCCAGAAAUAAGAGAGGAGUGGAUGCAGGAGGCUCCUCAGCGAUUAGAGCUUCUCGGCCGUCCGAUCAUUUUCUUGAUUGCGUUCUGGCCGUUGGAUCUCGGGCUCGGUCGUCGUGGGCCGUCGGAUAUUUACCCGGUCGUCUCCAACCGUCCGAUAUUUUCCCUAUGAGCCGUGUCCCGCCCGGCCGUGCCACCGCGCGUAAUUCCCGUGCCCCGCCGAGGGCAUUUUAGACAUUUCGCAUACCCCUUUAAAAACAAAGUAGCAGCCACUGGAAACCUAGCCGCUUCCUGCCGCACUCGCGCGGUCGCGCCCCCUUCCCCCUUCCCCCGUCCUCCCGCAUUCCAGCCUCCACCUCGCCGCCGCCACCAACACCAGGCGAUUCCGGCGAGUUCCGGCGGCCCUCGCCGGAGCGCAGCACACCCACGAGCUCCCCUCGUGACGGUGCUUCCUUUCCUCCGGCUAGAUCUGCUCCUCACGGCCGCAAGCGCUCGCGCGCGACCCAUCCCCGCUGCUAGGGCUUCGGCUGCCCCCAACUCUGGUGAGCCACCCUCCUCCAUGGACGAGGACGACCACCACGGCCGCACAUGGUCGAGCUCACCGUCGUUUCCUCCGGUGCGGUGAUGGGCCAACGAGCUCCGCCUCCACGGCUCCUAGCUCGGCUUCUGUUCUCCAUGGACGAAUCUCAACUGGAAACAGCAAGCCAUCUCAAGGGAGGGGAUUGUCAAGUCACCCCACUUCCAAUCCAUGGAUGCUAUCCACAAGGACCAAGAUGAUGACGACCAGGAUGGAAGGAGCCCACGCCCGACCCCGACGACGGCGGUUUCAUUUGUGUGCCGGCGUCGACCACAACCUCCCUCUCUGUAAUAUGUACAUCACUAACCCAGUCAGUGGUUAUGAAUUUCGCUCUCUGAAGGACGUGCAACGUUAUAUUGAAUCAGGGGACACAAGUAAAUGCAAUGUUAGGCCAAAGAAGAGAACUGCCCAGGAUGCUUGUAUUACACAGAAUCAAGAUUAUGUGAGUUCCUCCUAUUGUUUUCACUUUCUGUAGCUUGCAUGUUUGUGUGGGCUGGAAAUGUGUGAGAACAAUGCAAUCUACAAAAACAAUUAGCUUCAUCAAUUGGAAGUUCUCAUCGAUUGGAAGUUGCAGGGGAUUCAGUCUCUGACUAAACUGAUUAACUAACUGGUGUAUCUCCUUGGCAUGAUGUGCAUUAGCUUCAUCAAUUACAAUGCCUUGCUAGAGCUUCUGCCCGUGUGUUUAUUUCACACCACAUUCAAAGUUAAAUGUACCUGCGACGCCUCUUUUGGGACUGCUCGUGACGACCAUUCUGUGUUAUCCUGACAUGGCUUGCUAUGCUGUUGCGUCCGUGCAACUCUCUGUAGAAAAGACAGUAAAGUUGUCCACGCGUUGGACCCGAUGGGAGCCCCGACCAAACCACUCCACCGCAGUUCAAUACCUAUCGCAGAUGAUCCAGACGCUGUUGUUUCCAAAGAGAACUCCCAAUGCGGUCGUGAAGAAGCUGUCGUAUAUAACAGUUGAUAAACAUGACAAAAAUUCUCCGCCGCUGUUUGGAGGACAUUAAACCUGGGAGCAGAGGAAGGAAAGCUUUAAGUUGAAUGCUACCAUGAAGAGAUGAUUGUACUUAUGGAAACUCAGAUGCCCUGCACCGCUGCCGGAUCAGGGAUGGAGCGAACUAAAAUCCAGAAAUAAGAGAGGAGUGGAUGCAGGAGGCUCCUCAGCGAUUAGAGCUUCUCGGCCGUCCGAUCGUUUUCUUGAUUGCGUUCUGGCCGUUGGAUCUCGGGCUCGGUCGUCGUGGGCCGUCGGAUAUUUACCCGGUCAUCUCCAACCGUCCGACAUUUUCCCUAUGAGCCGUGUCCCGCCAGGCCGUGCCACCGCGCGUAAUUCCCGUGCCCCGCCGAGGGCAUUUUAGACAUUUCGCAUACCCCUUUAAAAACAAAGUAGCAGCCACUGGAAACCUAGCCGCUUCCUGCCGCACUCGCGCGGUCGCGCCCCCUUCCCCCUUCCCCCGUCCUCCCGCAUUCCAGCCUCCACCUCGCCGCCGCCACCAACACCAGGCAAUUCCGGCGAGUUCCGGCGGCCCUCGCCGGAGCGCAGCACACCCACGAGCUCCCCUCGUGACGGUGCUUCCUUUCCUCCGGCUAGAUCUGCUCCUCACGGCCGCAAGCGCUCGCGCGCGACCCAUCCCCGCUGCUAGGGCUUCGGCUGCCCCCAACUCUGGUGAGCCACCCUCCUCCAUGGACGAGGACGACCACCACGGCCGCACAUGGUCGAGCUCACCGUCGUUUCCUCCGGUGCGGUGAUGGGCCAACGAGCUCCGCCUCCACGGCUCCUAGCUCGGCUUCUGUUCUCCAUGGACGAAUCUCAACUGGAAACAGCAAGCCAUCUCAAGGGAGGGGAUUGUCAAGUCACCCCACUUCCAAUCCAUGGAUGCUAUCCACAAGGACCAAGAUGAUGACGACCAGGAUGGAAGGAGCCCACGCCCGACCCCGACGACGGCGGUUUCAUUUGUGUGCCGGCGUCGACCACAACCUCCCUCUCUGUAAUAUGUACAUCACUAACCCAGUCAGUGGUUAUGAAUUUUGCUCUCUGAAGGACGUGCAAUGUUAUAUUGAAUCAGGGGACACAAGUAAAUGCAAUGUUAGGCCAAAGAAGAGAACUGCCCAGGAUGCUUGUAUUACACAGAAUCAAGAUUAUGGGAUUCAGUCUCUGACUAAACUGAUUAACUAACUGGUGUAUCUCCUUGGCAUGAUGUGCAUUAGCUUCAUCAAUUACAAUGCCUUGCUAGAGCUUCUGCCCGUGUGUUUAUUUCAUACCACAUUCAAAGUUAAAUGUACCUGCGACGCCUCUUUUGGGACUGCUCGUGACGACCAUUCUGUGUUAUCCUGACAUGGCUUGCUAUGCUGUUGCGUCCGUGCAACUCUCUGUAGAAAAGACAGUAAAGUUGUCCACGCGUUGGACCCGAUGGGAGCCCCGGCCAAACCACUCCACCGCAGUUCAAUACCUGUCGCAGAUGAUCCAGACGCUGUCGUUUCCAAAGAGAACUCCCAAUGCGGUCGUGAAGAAGCUGUCGUAUAUAACAGUUGAUAAACAUGACAAAAAUUCUCCGCCGCUAUUUGGAGGACAUUAAACCUGGGAGCAGAGGAAGGAAAGCUUUAAGUUGAAUGCUACCAUGAAGAGAUGAUUGUACUUAUGGAAACUCAGAUGCCCUGCACCGCUGCCGGAUCAGGGAUGGAGCGAACUAAAAUCCAGAAAUAAGAGAGGAGUGGAUGCAGGAGGCUCCUCAGCGAUUAGAGCUUCUCGGCCGUCCGAUCGUUUUCUUGAUUGCGUUCUGGCCGUUGGAUCUCGGGCUCGGUCGUCGUGGGCCGUCGGAUAUUUACCCGGUCGUCUCCAACCUUCCGAUAUUUUCCCUAUGAGCCGUGUCCCGCCCGGCCGUGCCACCGCGCGUAAUUCCCGUGCCCCGCCGAGGGCAUUUUAGACAUUUCGCAUACCCCUUUAAAAACAAAGUAGCAGCCACUGGAAACCUAGCCGCUUCCUGCCGCACUCGCGCGGUCGCGCCCCCUUCCCCCUUCCCCCGUCCUCCCGCAUUCCAGCCUCCACCUCGCCGCCGCCACCAACACCAGGCGAUUCCGGCGAGUUCCGGCGGCCCUCGCCGGAGCGCAGCACACCCACGAGCUCCCCUCGUGACGGUGCUUCCUUUCCUCCGGCUAGAUCUGCUCCUCACGGCCGCAAGCGCUCGCGCGCGACCCAUCCCCGCUGCUAGGGCUUCGGCUGCCCCCAACUCUGGUGAGCCACCCUCCUCCAUGGACGAGGACGACCACCACGGCCGCACAUGGUCGAGCUCACCGUCGUUUCCUCCGGUGCGGUGAUGGGCCAACGAGCUCCGCCUCCACGGCUCCUAGCUCGGCUUCUGUUCUCCAUGGACGAAUCUCAACUGGAAACAGCAAGCCAUCUCAAGGGAGGGGAUUGUCAAGUCACCCCACUUCCAAUCCAUGGAUGCUAUCCACAAGGACCAAGAUGAUGACGACCAGGAUGGAAGGAGCCCACGCCCGACCCCGACGACGGCGGUUUCAUUUGUGUGCCGGCGUCGACCACAACCUCCCUCUCUGUAAUAUGUACAUCACUAACCCAGUCAGUGGUUAUGAAUUUUGCUCUCUGAAGGACGUGCAAUGUUAUAUUGAAUCAGGGGACACAAGUAAAUGCAAUGUUAGGCCAAAGAAGAGAACUGCCCAGGAUGCUUGUAUUACACAGAAUCAAGAUUAUGUGAGUUCCUCCUAUUGUUUUCACUUUCUGUAGCUUGCAUGUUUGUGUGGGCUGGAAAUGUGUGAGAACAAUGCAAUCUACAAAAACAAUUAGCUUCAUCAAUUGGAAGUUCUCAUCGAUUGGAAGUUGCAGGGGAUUCAGUCUCUGACUAAACUGAUUAACUAACUGGUGUAUCUCCUUGGCAUGAUGUGCAUUAGCUUCAUCAAUUACAAUGCCUUGCUAGAGCUUCUGCCCGUGUGUUUAUUUCACACCACAUUCAAAGUUAAAUGUACCUGCGACGCCUCUUUUGGGACUGCUCGUGACGACCAUUCUGUGUUAUCCUGACAUGGCUUGCUAUGCUGUUGCGUCCGUGCAACUCUCUGUAGAAAAGACAGUAAAGUUGUCCACGCGUUGGACCCGAUGGGAGCCCCGACCAAACCACUCCACCGCAGUUCAAUACCUGUCGCAGAUGAUCCAGACGCUGUUGUUUCCAAAGAGAACUCCCAAUGCGGUCGUGAAGAAGCUGUCGUAUAUAACAGUUGAUAAACAUGACAAAAAUUCUCCGCCGCUGUUUGGAGGACAUUAAACCUGGGAGCAGAGGAAGGAAAGCUUUAAGUUGAAUGCUACCAUGAAGGUGUUGGCCGACGAGCUCACGCCCAAAGCGCGAUGAACCACAUACAUUUUAUACCCCUGUUUUCUUGGCAAAAAUACAUUUUACUUCCUCUAAUUUUAAAUAGGAUAUUCUUGGGAAUGAGAUGUAAUUUUAGGAGAAUUACAUUUCAGCAUUUUAUUUUAUCCUGAAACUAUUGAUCUCUCUCUCCCUCUCUCUCUCUCUCUCCAUCUACAUAUAUCACACCAGCUGUUCCAGUUAGAGUAGUAGUGGCCACAAAAUUUUACUGAAAUAAUCAUGCUAUUGAUUCUGGAAGAAGCGUCUGCGAUUCUAGGAGAAGUUUUAAUUUCUCCCCAGAGAUGAGCUUGAUUAUCCAAGAAGCUUUUCCUU